Small nuclear RNA from Cricetulus griseus (Chinese hamster), 97 nucleotides. Lineage: Eukaryota; Metazoa; Chordata; Mammalia; Rodentia; Cricetidae. The record is from Ensembl.
CUUUGGGAGCAAAAGUACUAAAAAAGUGUAAUGAUACAAAUUAGCAUUGUCCCUGCACAAGGAAGACAUACAAAUUCAUGAAUUGUUCCGUAAAAAU